GGUAACAAUUGUUACAGGUGUAUAUUUAUGUAAAUAUGACAUCGAUUCUAUUUUUAAAUUUCAAAAAGUCGACAUGUUACAGAUGACCUCAUUUGUGGAUUUUCAGUGAAUAUAUUACCAGUUUGACCUAGACUGAAAUAUAGUCUGCUCCUACAUGUAUAACAAACAAAUUUUGAAGUGGCGUUCGGACUGAUAUUUUUUCUAGAAAUUGCCAGCAACGCUUAAAAUUAAGCAGACGACAAGCUGUAUGAUCUGGCACAUGAAGCAAAUAAUACUAACGAACGUUUGGAAAGGUUUUUAGAUGCAGUGAUAAACUACAUAUAAAACGAAAUUACUAAGGACAAUGGAAAACUAUUGAUGUAUUUCUAGACAUAUACAUCUUUUUUUCCAUUGUGACAAUAUGACUAAGUUUAGUUUUAAACAGAUAGCAAUAACAAUAGAGAUUUUAAUCAUAGGUCGCAGAAAUUGAAAAGUACACUGACAAAUAUCUAUUGCUUACUUGUGAUUAAAUUAAACAACUCUAAAUGAAUUAGAAGAAAUUAGAAGAUUGAAUAUUGAAGUGCUUAUUAUUUAAGACCUUAAAAUAAGUUUUGCUUUUCUUCAUUUGAGGAAAUAACCGUAUUUACCUACUGGUUUUAUUUCUGCAAAUGUCGAAAAAUGAAAUCUACCAAGUUACCUCAUGUUAAAUGAUUAUGGCUCAGUCAAAAUUGUCAUGUGGAAGUAAGGAUACUGGUACGGACAAAGAAACUGUUGGAAAACAAAAUGUUGCUGCGGAAAGCACGAACAAGAAGGACACAGAAUCUGAAUGUUUUCACGUGGAUGACAAGCGAGAAUUAAAAUAUAAAGUGGCCCAUAGACAUCCUUUGUACCCUCCAAUACACUCCAAGCAGAAAUCUCCACCAGAAAAAAAGAAAAAGUCAUUUGGAAAAAAGUAUUGCUAACAAGAAUAGCACAGAAGUACUUUAAUUUCGAUCAUUCACAUCAUUCUCGCAUGAAUGACUGGUAUUAUAAAGACGCAGGGUCAUAUUUAUAAGAUUUGUUUUUCUUAACACGACUGAAUUAAAUAAUUUAGUUUUUAUCAAUUUCAGUUCAAAUUUUUAACUAUGCUUAUACAUAUACUUCACAGAUACUACAAUACACUGAGAUUUUAAAAGUAUAAAUGGUUAAUAAGCUUAUACUUUAGUGAAGAAUAUUUACGAAAUUUGUUUGGAUCUUUACAUCUACUAAAAAGCUUUGCAUUGUUUUGCACAGUAGCAUUUUAUCAGUUAUAACUUUUAUAAUAAAUCUUAUCGUCUAUUGAUUUUAAAACAUUUGCAGAUCUUAAAACUGAAAUCUUAUACAACCUUUUGUUUCAAUCAAUUUGCCAUUUCUUUCAUGAUGUUCUUAAAAGCUUGACACGGAAGAAAAUAGUUAUAACAUGUAGAGCUACCUUUAAACGUCCCUUAAUUAUAUUUUGAUACAAUAUUCUUUUGAUUAAAUCAUUCUUAAUAUUUUGAAUAUAUAUUUACAACUGAAAAGCUGGGCUGGCAGAAUAUGUAUAUUAAUAUGAGGAUUUUAUGUAUGCUGACAUUCUGUAGAACCAUUUUAAUAUGGACAGCGAUGUACUGAUUUCUAAAUCAUAUUGGAAACUCGCCAAUGUUUACUACAUUUUCUGAAUCGUUAAUUUGAUUCAUCAUAAAUUUGACCUACAUUCUUUUUCUUUUUUUUUUUUGUUUUGCAUUUGGAAAUAUGACACAUUCAGUGAUAGUCCAGAUAAUAUAUAUUUUAUUUUCAUAUAGUAAAAAUAGUGGGAUAAUAAGAUGGGCAAUGGUAAGAUAGUAGAAUGACAGUGGUAGGAUGAUAAGAUGACGAUGGUAAGAUAGUAGGACAUCCAUAGCUGACAAAAUGAUAUAGUGCCAUCCAACUAUCGCUAUCCUACCAUCUAACCAUCGCUUUCCUACCAUUCUCCCGUCAUAUUAUCCUACUAUCUAACAAUCGCUAUCCUACCAUCCUAAUAUCUUACCAUCCUAUUAUCCUACCAUCACUAUCCUACAUCCUACUAUCCUACCAUCGCUAUUCUACCAUCAUAUUAUUCUACCAUCGCUAUCCUACCAUCUUACUAUCGUCAUCCUACUAUCAUAUUAUCGUACUAUCGUUAUGCUACCAUCCUUCUAUCCUACCGACCUACCACCACGGGAAGAAAAGGACACAAAGAGUUGGCAGGAUAGUAGGGCAGUGGGGUGGUAGGAUAAUAUGAUGAGAAGAUAGUAAGAUGAUAGAGUAGAAUAUAAAAUAGGAGAAUGGCAAUAUCCUAUUAUCUUACCAUCGCCUAUCCUGCUUUCCUGUCGUCCUACCAUCCUACCAUUGCACACUGGUUGUAGGCGAUGGGUUAGGUAUGAUAUGUAGCAUACAGUUCAUUUUAAAUAAUAAUCUUUUUAUCGUUGUUUAAACCUUUAUUAUCAUUUGUUAGAGCGAGGUAGAAGUUAUCGUAUGCCAUAAGUUUGUUUUCUGUAUCGUUAAUUUGAAUUGUCUCAUUGUUGUGGUAUUCGUUGUCUUUACAUUGCGAUGCCUGAAUGACACUUUCAGUGAAGACAUCUUAACUGUAACUUUGUGCGAUUUAGAUUUUUUAUGUCACGAAAGUACAUUUGACUUAACUGAUAUGACAGUGCAUUAAGUCAGGAAACUAAAUGAAAAAGUGAAAUUUGUGACACAGUGCACGGAAUAUUCAAACGCACGAUGAAACUGCGACAGAGAGAAUCGUAAGCGUGUCUUACAAAAAAGGAAUUUCUGAAGAAAUACCGACAAGUUUAAGAUGUAUAAAGGCGGUAUUCUUCACUAGUAUGACACUGAGUCAAGUGUCUUCACCGAAAACAAGUAUUAUUUACUUGUCUCCAACAAUAUGAUGAUGCUAAUAGUCAUGUGGAUCAAGUAUUACCACUUCAAUUAAGAAAAAUAACUACAUUGUAUUUCGGUGGUGGGUUUCGUCGAUGAUUUAUAUUUUUCUGAUCAUUUGUUUCAGACUGCAUAACAUUCUGUAUACUAGUAUUUUGCAUGAAGCUUGAACAAUUGAUAUUUUAUGUUAAACUGUCUGAGGGAUGCCCCUUUACUAUGGAAGACCUGGAGGGACAAUCGAUUUCCGUACUUCCUACUCCUGACUUCUAACUUUUACACUUCUCACUUCCUACUUCUUGACUUCCUACUUCCUACUUCUAACUUCCACAUUUCUGACUUCUAACUUCCGGACUUCUGACUUCCAACUUCCUGACUUUCGACUUCUGAUUUCCAACUUCCACACUUCUUACUUCCUACCUCUUGACUUCUUAUUUCCUUCUUCUAACUUCCUGACUUCCGACUUCCAACUUCCGUACUUCUGACUUCCAACUUCCUGACUUCUUACUACCGACUUCCAACUUCCGUCAGAGUAUUGUGACAUUCCUCUUCGUUUACAAGAAAUAAUAUUACUAUUAAUAGCCUUAUUUACAAUACCUGAACUAGUUUGAAUAUUUGUAUGAUAUGUAAUCUCAAGAUGUUUUUAUUUGUUUUUCUUGUAAAAGAAUGUAACCUGAAUGUCUGAAAUUAUAUUUACUUAUCUACCUUAUUAGCGCGGCACACAAUGUUUAUUUAUCUUACAUUGUAUUAUCGUUUUUCAAAAGAUGAAAUGCGUGUGUUCUAGCUUUCAUGUAACUGAUUAUGCUUUUUCGAGUGUAAAAAUGUACAAUUUUUUUUUAUGGUUUUCGUGUGGUGAACAGUAUGGAAUAGCUAAGUAGUAACCCUGUUAUUUAUUUUAUCAGUAAUACUUUUAAUAGUUUAAAAAUAACAAAUGUUUCUAUAAAGUCUACACUUAAGUCACCAUUAAAACAUAAAAAUAGAAGCAAAUGCAUUAUGGGACUUACAAAAGCUAUUUACACUCACACAGAUCUUUGACCUGUAUAUAAAAUUUUGUUUUAUUAUCUGUGUGUGCAAAUUAAAUAACCCGUUGAAUUGUUUUCUGUACAAUAAGUGUUUUUGAAAUUAAUUUGAUAAUAUCUCCAAAUUCAAACAACUGUUUAUGACUGUUUUGAUUUUGCUUGGCUUUUUAAGAGCAGUAGCAAUAGAUAUCUAUUGGCGUGUUUUACUUUUGUCGCAUUAUAAUUGUAUAGGGUAAGGUAUGAUGAAUUUAGCAUUUUAAUUUGUUGCAAAUUUUUAUCUGUUGUGGUAUCUGAUUUAUCAAAUGUUUGUAUUGUAACUUAUACUGCUAAAAGUACAGAUUUCUACUGAAAUGGGUUUGAUAUGUACGUACAUGCUACUAGCAACUACUUUUAUAUUGGUUUUAUGCUGGCGUAGCAAGAGUGUAAAGGCUUGGGGUGGGCGCAUUAGAGGACCCAUCAGCUAAACCGACCCAUAUUUCUCUGAUGAGGUUUUGGUACGGUUCGACUAAUUGUUUGUGAAAUCAUUCCACUUGCCACUAAGAAAUCAAGUCAUUCUUUAAUUUUGGCUCAGUUUAUGAACCGUUAACGGGUCUAAUUUCUUAAUGUAUUUAAAUCAUUUCUUUUAUGAUAAAUGAUUACAACAUUAACUAACGAAAAUAAACAAAAUAUUUUUGUGGGGGGACUAGAGAAAAUACGCUCCAGUCUGAGCUACGGUAAAUUAGUGCAAUCGGUAACACCGCUGACCCCACAGUUACAAUAGCAUAAUGGGAUUUUCAGGCAAGGUGGUUGGGUUAAGGAGAAAUGUACCUGAGAUGUGGGAAUAAAAGAAAUGAAGAAAAUGCAUUUUAUUUGAAAACAAAUUCGUUUAUUGCAGAAUAAAGCAGUAGACUUGAUACUUGAUGAAGUUAGGUGACAAGAAUUUGUGGGUAAUGUAAUAUAUAAAUGUCUGAAAUUAACACGACAGUAUUCUUCAGUUGUCAAACUUUGAUUAUGGUCACUAAACAAUAUAAUUAUACACCAUCAAGAAAGAAAUGUUGAGUUGCCCCGGAUAAGGUUUUCAAAAAAAGGAAGAUUAUCAAAAACUAUGACCACCUAGAGUUAUAAGAUUCCUUGUCACUGCAUUUGCCCUUACUGACCUCUAUCAGUAUGUGAAGUAUGAAGUUAAUACCUUACAUAGAUAUCAAGUAUGCCACGGUCAAGGUUUUCAAAAAAGGGAGAUUAGUAAAAAAUCGGACUACCUAGAGUUAUGAUUCCUUAUUACUGCACUUCCUCUACAUGAGCUCUAUCAUACAAUUUGUAAAAAGAUUUAAAAAGGACAGAUUGACGACGGGAGGACAUAUUCCACUCUCCGGGGAGCAUAAAAAAGGACUAUGUUUUGCUUCAAACUAAGUCAUGAAAUAUAGAAGCAGAACUUCGAGCAUCUCGAAUAGGUGCAGUUGUAAAAUUAAAAAUGUUUGAAACCCAUUCUUUAUAGUGUGAACUUAUUUCUUUAUUUUACUUACAUCAAAAAUAUA
Molecule: long non-coding RNA, 5401 nt
Organism: Mercenaria mercenaria
Lineage: Eukaryota; Metazoa; Mollusca; Bivalvia; Venerida; Veneridae
Exons: 3
Source: RefSeq, a predicted model, not a curated record